GUGGCGUACGGCUCAGAAACACGUAGUCGACUUACCCUGAGGACGGGGAUAACCUCGGGAAACUGAGGAUAAANUNCCNUAGGCUAUAAUACCUGGAAUGGGUUAUAGCUGAAAUCUACAUGGCCUCAGGAUAGGACUGCGGCCGAUCAGGCUGUUGGCGGGGUAAUGGCCCACCAAACCUAUAACCGGUACGGGCUCUGAGAGGAGGAGCCCGGAGAUGGGCACUGAGACAAGGGCCCAGGUCCUAUGGGGCGCAGCAGGCGCGAAACCUUCGCAAUGGGCGAAAGCCCGACGAGGUUAAUCCGAGUGGCUUCUGCUAAAGGAGUNUUUUGCCAGCUGUAAGGAGGCUGGUGAAUAAAGGGCGGGCAAGUCUGGUGUCAGCCGCCGCGGUAAUACCAGCACCCUGAGUGGUCGGGGCGAUUAUUUGGCCUAAAGCAUCCGUAGUCGGUAUAACAAGUCCUCUGUUAAAUCCACCUGCUUAACAGGUGGGCUGCGG
This 496-nucleotide ribosomal RNA is filed under the name uncultured crenarchaeote. RNAcentral describes it as "bacterial SSU rRNA". It matches the Rfam family "Archaeal small subunit ribosomal RNA", at positions 78 to 577 of the family's 1478-position model. Lineage: Archaea; Thermoproteati; Thermoproteota. The record is from RNAcentral.